UGGGGAAUAUUGGACAAUGGACCAAGAGUCUGAUCCAGCAAUUCUGUGUGCACGAUGAAGUUUUUCGGAAUGUAAAGUGCUUUCAGUUGGGAAGAAAAAAAUGACGGUACCAACAGAAGAAGUGACGGCUAAAUACGUGCCAGCAGCCGCGGUAAUACGUAUGUCACGAGCGUUAUCCGGAUUUAUUGGGCGUAAAGCGCGUCUAGGUGGUUAUGUAAGUCUGAUGUGAAAAUGCAGGGCUCAACUCUGUAUUGCGUUGGAAACUGUAUAACUAGAGUACUGGAGAGGUAAGCGGAACUACAAGUGUAGAGGUGAAAUUCGUAGAUAUUUGUAGGAAAUGCCGAUGGGGAAGCCAGCUUACUGGACAGAUACUGACGCUGAAGCGCGAAAGCGUGGGUAGCAAACAGGAUUAGAUACCCUGGUAGUCCACGCCGUAAACGAUGAUUACUAGGUGUUGGGGGUCGAACCUCAGCGCCCAAGCAAACGCGAUAAGUAAUCCGCCUGGGGAGUACGUACGCAAGUAUG
Molecule: ribosomal RNA, 525 nt
Filed under: uncultured bacterium
Lineage: Bacteria
Description: bacterial SSU rRNA
Rfam family: Bacterial small subunit ribosomal RNA
Source: RNAcentral